UCAUUAUCUUUGCAGGUGCACCUAAUAAGGUGAGUGUUUUUUUUUUCUUCACACAAAACUUGUACUUUUGGUUGACAGGUCAACUCACGGUCUCGUCGAUGGUAAAUUCUUUCUCAGAGGUGACCGGGGAAACCACUUUGGGCUUCAUGAAGUCCUUGAAGCUGCUGGACCUCUGCAGGUUUUUGUAAACAGCCUGGCGGACACACGGCGCACCAACAGCGCCCUCUGGUGGUUGACGAGAUACUACAGGCAGCCAUACCUCUGGUUCCCGCAGGAAAUAUGGUUCUUGAUAUUUCAAUAUUCCCCAUAAGCACCCGAGUGAAGGCUUCCUGCAGUGGGCGUGCCCCAGUGGACCGUCCUGGUGACGUCAGUGGUGCCGUCUCUGGAGGUGUGCAGACAAGUGAUGACAGGGAUCUACAUUUAGGAGAUUAUGGAGGGCCUCAAUGUGUUGUGACUCACAGAUAUUGACCACCAGAGUCCACCAGGUACAUCUCAUCUGCUGUCAGCUUCCUGUUUGUUUCCCCCGUGGGGCUGCAGCGUGCAGAAACAGAUGAUAUGACGUCAUCUCGUCCAGUACAGCAUAUAUCUUACUACUCUUUUACUGCACAAUGUUUUUUGUUCCUAUUGGACUCACAAACAAGUGCUAUUAUUUUACACAUAAAUAAUAAAAAAUACAAAUGUAGUAGUACAGUAUUUCAAUUUAAAUUAAUUGACUUUCUUGUGAAUAUUAAACAAUCACACAAUCUCAAUUUAUACCCGGGAAUACAAUAUUUAAAAAAAAAAUGUAUUAAAAGUUACCAUUAGUUGAAUCACCACAAUCAAACGUACCGUAAAUGAUCAUAAAAACACUUAUUUUUAGAGAUGCCCGAUAAUGGCUUUUUCCCCCGAUAUGCGAUAUUGUCCAACUCUUAAUUACCGAUUCCGAUAUCAACCGAUACCGAUAUAUACAGUCGUAGAAUUAACACAAUAUUAUGCCUAAUUUUGUUGUGAUGCCCGGCUGGAUGCAAUAAACAAUGUAGCAAGGUUUUUCCAAAAUAAAUCAACUCAAGUUAUGGAAAAUAAAUGCCAACAUG
Nerophis lumbriciformis (worm pipefish) is the source of this 1073-nucleotide long non-coding RNA. RefSeq lists it as uncharacterized. NCBI's taxonomy places the organism in Eukaryota, Metazoa, Chordata, Actinopteri, Syngnathiformes, Syngnathidae. The record is from RefSeq and is a predicted model, not a curated record.